Molecule: ribosomal RNA, 120 nt
Filed under: Misgurnus anguillicaudatus (oriental weatherfish)
Lineage: Eukaryota; Metazoa; Chordata; Actinopteri; Cypriniformes; Cobitidae
Source: RNAcentral
GCUUACGGUCACACCACCCUGAGCACGCCCGAUCUCGUCCGAUCUCGGAAACCAAGCAGGGUCGGGCCUGGUUAGUACUUGGAUGGGAGACCGCCUGGGAAUACCAAGUGCUGUAAGCAU